AGGAUGUGGAAUUGCACAGACAACCAGGAUGUUGGCUUAGAAGCAGCCACUCAUUAAAAGAGUGCGUAAUAGCUCACUGGUCGAGUGACUCUGCGCCGAAAAUUUAACGGGGCUAAACUAUACACCGAAGCUUGGGAUACAUCUAAUGUAUGGUAGGAGAGCGUUCUGUAUGGGGAGAAGUCGUAGCGAAAGCGGCGGUGGACUAUACAGAAGUGAGAAUGCCGGAAUAAGUAGCGAGAAUUAAGUGAGAAUCUUAAUGGCCGAAAGUCUAAGGUUUUUGGAGGAAGGUUCGUCCGCUCCAAGUAAGUCGGGAGCUAAGGUCAGGCCGAAAGGCGUAGCCGAUGCACAUACGGUUGAUAUUCCGUAACCAUCUGUAAUUUAAGCAAAGGGACACUUCAAAAGGGUGUGACCCGGGCGUUGGUUGACCCGGGCGUAAGGGACCGAAAUUAGAGUAGGGAAGCACACUUAGCUGAAGGCGAGAAAAGCUUUGCGUAUAGAAACAGAUGCCCGUACCGCAAACCGACACAGGUGGACAGGAAGAGAAUUCUAAGGCCAGCGGGAGAAGGGUAGUUAAGGAACUCGGCAAAUUGACUCCGUAACUUCGGAAUAAGGAGUGCUCGAAAGAGCCGCAGAGAAUAGGCCCAGGCGACUGUUUAGCAAAAACACAGGUCUCUGCCAAAUCGAAAGAUGAAGUAUAGGGGCUGACACCUGCCCGGUGCCGGAAGGUUAAGAGGAGGAGUGAGAGCUCCGAAUUGAAGCCCCGGUAAACGGCGGCCGUAACUAUAACGGUCCUAAGGUAGCGAAAUUCCUUGUCGGGUAAGUUCCGACCCGCACGAAUGGUGUAACGAUCUGGACGCUGUCUCAACUGCCCACCCGGCGAAAUUGUAGUACCGGUGAAGAUGCCGGUUACCCGCGGCAAGACGGAAAGACCCCAUGGAGCUUUACUGUAACUUGAUAUUGGGUCUUGGUAUUCUAUGUACAGGAUAGGCGGGAGACUAUGAAACAUACACGCCAGUGUAUGCGGAGUCACCCUUGGGAUACCGCUCUUAGAGUACUGAGAUUCUAACCUGCGGCCGUGAAUCCGGUCGGGGGACAUUGUCAGGUGGGCAGUUUGACUGGGGCGGUCGCCUCCGAAAAGGUAACGGAGGCGCUCAAAGGUUAGCUCAGCACGGACGGAAACCGUGCCUCUGAGUGUAAACGCAAAAGCUAGCCUAACUGCGAGGGUGACGGCCCGAGCAGUAACGAAAGUUGGAGUUAGUGAUCCGGCGGUAUGUGAAUGGAAAUGCCGUCGCUCAACGGAUAAAAGCUACCCUGGGGAUAACAGGCUGAUCUCCCCCAAGAGUCCACAUCGACGGGGAGGUUUGGCACCUCGAUGUCGGCUCAUCACAUCCUGGGGCUGUAUUCGGUCCCAAGGGUUCGGCUGUUCGCCGAUUAAAGUGGUACGCGAGCUGGGUUCAGAACGUCGCGAGACAGUUCGGUCCCUAUCUGUCGUGGGCGCAGGAUAUUUGAGGAGCUCUGUCCUUAGUACGAGAGGACCGGGAUGGACGUACCUCUGGUGCACCAGUUGUCAUGCCAAUGGCACGGCUGGGCAGCUAUGUACGGAACGGAUAAACGCUGAAAGCAUCUAAGCGUGAAGCCGACUCCAAGAUUAGAUAUCCCAUCGUAUAACGAGUAAGACCCCUUGAAGACUACGAGGUUGAUAGGCUGCGUGUGUAAGUGCCGUGAGGCAUUCAGCUUGGCAGUACUAAUAGGUCGAGGGCUUGACCAC
RNAcentral lists this ribosomal RNA (1768 nucleotides) under human gut metagenome. RNAcentral's name for it is "bacterial LSU rRNA". It matches the Rfam family "Bacterial large subunit ribosomal RNA", at positions 1070 to 2925 of the family's 2925-position model. The record is from RNAcentral.